RNAcentral lists this ribosomal RNA (497 nucleotides) under uncultured bacterium. RNAcentral's name for it is "partial 16S ribosomal RNA". It matches the Rfam family "Bacterial small subunit ribosomal RNA", at positions 28 to 507 of the family's 1533-position model. The record is from RNAcentral.
GAUGAACGCUGGCGGCGUGCCUAAUACAUGCAAGCCGAGCGAACGGACGAGAAGCUUGCUUCUCUGAUGUUAGCGGCGGACGGGUGAGUAACACGUGGAUAACCUACCUAUAAGACUGGGAUAACUUCGGGAAACCGGAGCUAAUACCGGAUGAUAUUUUGAACCGCAUGGUUCAAAAGUGAAAGACGGUCUUGCUGUCACUUAUAGAUGGAUCCGCGCUGCAUUAGCUAGUUGGUAAGGUAACGGCUUACCAAGGCAACGAUGCAUAGCCGACCUGAGAGGGUGAUCGGCCACACUGGAACUGAGACACGGUCCAGACUCCUACGGGAGGCAGCAGUAGGGAAUCUUCCGCAAUGGGCGAAAGCCUGACGGAGCAACGCCGCGUGAGUGAUGAAGGUCUUCGGAUCGUAAAACUCUGUUAUUAGGGAAGAACAUAUGUGUAAGUAACUGUGCACAUCUUGACGGUACCUAAUCAGAAGGCCACGGCUAACUACGUG